GACUCAGACCAUAUUGAUUUUAUUGAAUAUGUAUGUGGGUUCUACCACUGAUGUAACAUGUUCAUAUGUUCACAUAUGUUACACGCAUACAUAUAUAUGACACAUGUGUAGCAUCAGAGUUGUCAACAAGAGAAGGCUUUUUUUGGUUACAUAAGGGUAGCUAUAAUUCGGGGGAAAUCGUUAUUUUAUUUUUCGAAGAAGGUUGAGGAUGGUCUACUGUGUGUGUUAUCUGAAGGGAACACGACUUUCUUUACCACGGUGGUAUGAUUGCCGUACUCUCUCUUUGUUCCGCCCGCUGACUUAUUGGAAUAGCAACCUUCAAGCCUUUUUUAGAGAUAAUUCUGUCUCGGACCCAAAAGCGCUGACAAU
Molecule: long non-coding RNA, 369 nt
Filed under: Linum usitatissimum (flax)
Lineage: Eukaryota; Viridiplantae; Streptophyta; Magnoliopsida; Malpighiales; Linaceae
Description: long non-coding RNA (LUSI_LNC007325)
Source: RNAcentral